GUGGGGAAUAUUGGACAAUGGGCGCAAGCCUGAUCCAGCCAUGCCGCGUGAGUGAUGAAGGUCUUAGGAUUGUAAAGCUCUUUCACCGGUGAAGAUAAUGACGGUAACCGGAGAAGAAGCCCCGGCUAACUUCGUGCCAGCAGCCGCGGUAAUACGAAGGGGGCUAGCGUUGUUCGGAUUUACUGGGCUUAAACCGCACGUAGGCGGACUUUUAAGUCAGGGGUGAAAUCCCAGAGCUCAACUCUGGAACUGCCUUUGAUACUGGAAGUCUUGAGUAUGGAAGAGGUGAGUGGAAUUCCGAGUGUAGAGGUGAAAUUCGUAGAUAUUCGGAGGAACACCAGUGGCGAAGGCGGCUCACUGGUCCAUUACUGACGCUGAGGUGCGAAAGCGUGGGGAGCAAACAGGAUUAGAUACCCUAGUAGUCC
RNAcentral lists this ribosomal RNA (425 nucleotides) under uncultured bacterium. RNAcentral describes it as "partial 16S ribosomal RNA". It matches the Rfam family "Bacterial small subunit ribosomal RNA", at positions 354 to 796 of the family's 1533-position model. The record is from RNAcentral.